RNAcentral lists this ribosomal RNA (447 nucleotides) under uncultured soil bacterium. RNAcentral's name for it is "bacterial SSU rRNA". It matches the Rfam family "Bacterial small subunit ribosomal RNA", at positions 950 to 1384 of the family's 1533-position model. The record is from RNAcentral.
UUCGAUUAACGCGAAGACCCUUACCCAGGCUUGAACUGCGAAUGACCACUCCCGAAAGGGAGCUUCCGCAAGGACAUUCGUAGAGGUGCUGCAUGGCUGUCGUCAGCUCGUGUCGUGAGAUGUUGGGUUAAGUCCCGCAACGAGCGCAACCCUUGUUUGCUGUUGCCAUCAGGUUAUGCUGGGCACUCUGCAAAGACUGCCGGUGACAAACCGGAGGAAGGUGGGGAUGACGUCAAGUCAGCAUGGCCUUUAUGUCUGGGGCCACACACGUGCUACAAUGGCCGGUACAAACCGUCGCGAGCCCGCAAGGGGGAGCUAAUCGGAGAAAGCCGGUCUCAGUUCGGAUAGCAGGCUGCAACUCGCCUGCUUGAAGUUGGAAUCGCUAGUAAUCGCGGAUCAGCACGCCGCGGUGAAUACGUUCCCGGGCCUUGUCACACCGAAUCACUA